RNAcentral lists this ribosomal RNA (207 nucleotides) under uncultured bacterium. Its description in RNAcentral is "partial 16S ribosomal RNA". It matches the Rfam family "Bacterial small subunit ribosomal RNA", at positions 568 to 774 of the family's 1533-position model. The record is from RNAcentral.
UGCGUAGGUGGUCGGGUAAGUUUGAUGUGAAAGCUCCGAGCUUAACUCGGAAAUUGCAUUGAAUACUAUUCGGCUAGAGGGUUGGAGGGGGGACUGGAAUUCUCGGUGUAGCAGUGAAAUGCGUAGAUAUCGAGAGGAACACCAGUGGCGAAGGCGAGUCCCUGGACAACUCCUGACACUGAGGCACGAAAGCUAGGGGAGCAAACA